RNAcentral lists this ribosomal RNA (480 nucleotides) under uncultured bacterium. RNAcentral's name for it is "bacterial SSU rRNA". It matches the Rfam family "Bacterial small subunit ribosomal RNA", at positions 30 to 507 of the family's 1533-position model. The record is from RNAcentral.
UGAACGCUAGCGGCAGGGCCUAAUACAUGCAAGUCGGACGGGAUUGAGGAGCUUGCUCUCAUGAGAGUGGCGCACGGGUGCGUAACACGUAUGUAACCUACCUUAAUCAGGGGGAUAGCCUCUCGAAAGAGAGAUUAAGACCGCAUAAAAUCACACUGUGGCAUCACAGAAUGAUCAAAUAUUAAUAGGAUUAAGAUGGGCAUGCGUCCCAUUAGUUAGUUGGUAAGGUAACGGCUUACCAAGACAAUGAUGGGUAGGGGUCCUGAGAGGGAGAUCCCCCACACUGGUACUGAGACACGGACCAGACUCCUACGGGAGGCAGCAGUGAGGAAUAUUGGUCAAUGGGCGCAAGCCUGAACCAGCCAUGCCGCGUGCAGGAAGACGGUCCUAUGGAUUGUAAACUGCUUUUAUACAGGAAGAAACCUCCCUACGUGUAGGGACUUGACGGUACUGUAGGAAUAAGGAUCGGCUAACUCCGUG